This 463-nucleotide long non-coding RNA is filed under the name Vigna radiata. RNAcentral describes it as "long non-coding RNA (VRAD_LNC002633)". Lineage: Eukaryota; Viridiplantae; Streptophyta; Magnoliopsida; Fabales; Fabaceae. The record is from RNAcentral.
CAUCAGAAGCAAUGCAUAACCCAAAAAAAAUAAAGAAAAUAAAAUAAAAUAAAAUAAAACCAAAUCAAAUAAAAUCAAAUAAAAUAAAAAAAAAUCAAAUAAAAGAAAAUAAAAUAAAAAUAAAAAUAAAAUAAAAUAAAAUCAAAACGAAAUUGAAAAAAAAAUUCAGAAACUGGGUUGCCUCCCAGCAAGCGCUCUUUUAACAUCAUUACCUUGGCCCGGUAAAGCCCAAACACCCCUCAGUAGGUGUUGAUUUUUAACGUUGGCGUUCUUCCUUCCUUCAUGACACCAACAAUCUUCUUGUCACCAACUCUAAGGAUCCUCAAUCUCAAGAGCUCUGCUUGCUUUAAUAGUCUUGACAACCCAUAACCUAAUCUUGAAUUUCAUUGAUGUGCCAGGUUAGGGUUUGUCACUUUUCACAUCAGGGCGUUGGUGAACAAAUUCUCCUUCCUUAUCUGCCUCC